GUAGGGAAUCUUCCACAAUGGGCGCAAGCCUGAUGGAGCAACACCGCGUGAGUGAAGAAGGGUUUCGGCUCGUAAAGCUCUGUUGUUAAAGAAGAACACGUAUGAGAGUAACUGUUCAUACGUUGACGGUAUUUAACCAGAAAGUCACGGCUAACUACGUGCCAG
This 165-nucleotide ribosomal RNA is filed under the name uncultured bacterium. RNAcentral describes it as "partial 16S ribosomal RNA". It matches the Rfam family "Bacterial small subunit ribosomal RNA", at positions 354 to 511 of the family's 1533-position model. The record is from RNAcentral.